This is a small nucleolar RNA of Aotus nancymaae (Ma's night monkey), 134 nucleotides long. The record is from Ensembl. Lineage: Eukaryota; Metazoa; Chordata; Mammalia; Primates; Aotidae.
UGUCCUUGACUUGGGUAGAGUGACGUCUGGUUGGUGCUGCCCAUCUCAUAAAAACCAGGGAAAAAUCAAUGCCUUAUUUAUUUCAGCUUGACUUUUGGUCAUGCCUAUUCCUGGUUUAUGCCUUGGACACAUGG